This 655-nucleotide ribosomal RNA is filed under the name uncultured Glomus. RNAcentral describes it as "SSU rRNA". It matches the Rfam family "Eukaryotic small subunit ribosomal RNA", at positions 357 to 1016 of the family's 1831-position model. Lineage: Eukaryota; Fungi; Glomeromycota; Glomeromycetes; Glomerales; Glomeraceae. The record is from RNAcentral.
GGGUAACGGGGUGUUAAGGCACGACACCGGAGAGGGAGCCUGAGAAACGGCUACCACAUCCAAGGAUGGCAGCAGGCGCGCAAAUUACCCAAUCCCGACACGGGGAGGUAGUGACAAUAAAUAACAAUACGGGGUUCUUUCGGAUCUCGUAAUUGGAAUGAGUACAAUUUAAAUCUCUUAACGAGGAACAAUUGGAGGGCAAGUCUGGUGCCAGCAGCCGCGGUAAUUCCAGCUCCAAUAGCGUAUAUUAAAGUUGUUGCAGUUAAAAAGCUCGUAGUUGAAUUUCGGGGUUAGUAGGUUGGUCAUGCCUCUGGUAUGUACUGGUCUCACUGAUUCCUCCUUCCUGAUGAACCGUAAUGCCAUUAAUUUGGUGUUGCGGGGAAUUUGGACUGUUACUUUGAAAAAAUUAGAGUGUUUAAAGCAAGCUAACGCUUGAAUACAUUAGCAUGGAAUAAUGAAAUAGGACGUUCGAUCCUAUUUUGUUGGUUUCUAGGAUUGACGUAAUGAUUAAUAGGGAUAGUUGGGGGCAUUAGUAUUCAAUUGUCAGAGGUGAAAUUCUUGGAUUUAUUGAAGACUAACUACUGCGAAAGCAUUUGCCAAGGAUGUUUUCAUUAAUCAAGAACGAAAGUUAGGGGAUCGAAGACGAUCAGAUACC